RNAcentral lists this transfer RNA (80 nucleotides) under Clostridium sp. Its description in RNAcentral is "tRNA-Leu". It matches the Rfam family "tRNA". Rfam says of the family: Transfer RNA (tRNA) molecules are approximately 80 nucleotides in length. Their secondary structure includes four short double-helical elements and three loops (D, anti-codon, and T loops). RNAcentral also lists the same sequence under 2 other names. The record is from RNAcentral. Lineage: Bacteria; Bacillati; Bacillota; Clostridia; Eubacteriales; Clostridiaceae.
GCGGUUAUGGCGGAAUUGGCAGACGCGCCAGAUUUAGGUUCUGGUGGGAGACCGUGCAGGUUCAAGUCCUGUUAGCCGCA